CCCACUCUAGUGGCACUUGUGCCGCAUCGGCGGCAGCGCCAACGCCUCGUCUCCAAGGCCCUGCAGAACUCGCUCUGGAUCGAAGACAUCCAUGGUGCCAUGAGCGCCGCUGCUACGAUUGAGUAUGUCGAGCUGUGGCGGCGCAUUCAAAACAUCCAGCCUUCAGCCGAACCCGACAGAAUCUAUUGGAAGUGGACCGACAACGGGAUCUACACGACAAGUUCUGCAUACAAGGCCUUGUUCCACGGAUCGACCGCCAGCCCCUUCUGGCGUCUAAUCUGGCGCUCAUGGGCGCCCGACGGCGCAAAGUUCUUUCUCUGGCUCGCCUCGAUGGAUCGCUGCAACAGAAGAGAAAACAUAACACACACUCUUAACUUAACAACCAUCACUCAAGACCACAGUAGGUCCAUCUCCUUUAUUUUUGCGAGGCAUAAUAUUUGUGUUGCCUCUUAUCCUCCUUCUCACCCUCGCCGGUGA
This 477-nucleotide ribosomal RNA is filed under the name Triticum aestivum (bread wheat). RNAcentral's name for it is "partial small subunit ribosomal RNA". Lineage: Eukaryota; Viridiplantae; Streptophyta; Magnoliopsida; Poales; Poaceae. The record is from RNAcentral.